Molecule: ribosomal RNA, 278 nt
Filed under: uncultured bacterium
Lineage: Bacteria
Description: partial 16S ribosomal RNA
Rfam family: Bacterial small subunit ribosomal RNA
Source: RNAcentral
GCAGCCGCGGUAAUACGUAGGGGGCAAGCGUUAUCCGGAUUUACUGGGUGUAAAGGGAGCGUAGACGGUUUAGCAAGUCUGAAGUGAAAGCCCGGGGCUCAACCCCGGGACUGCUUUGGAAACUGUUGAACUAGAGUGCAGGAGAGGUAAGCGGAAUUCCUAGUGUAGCGGUGAAAUGCGUAGAUAUUAGGAGGAACACCAGUGGCGAAGGCGGCUUACUGGACUGUAACUGACGUUGAGGCUCGAAAGCGUGGGGAGCAAACAGGAUUAGAUACCCC